This 460-nucleotide ribosomal RNA is filed under the name uncultured bacterium. Its description in RNAcentral is "partial 16S ribosomal RNA". It matches the Rfam family "Bacterial small subunit ribosomal RNA", at positions 338 to 795 of the family's 1533-position model. The record is from RNAcentral.
CCUACGGGAGGCAGCAGUGAGGAAUAUUGGUCAAUGGACGAGAGUCUGAACCAGCCAAGUAGCGUGAAGGAUGACUGCCCUCUGGGUUGUAAACUUCUUUUAUAUGGGAAUAAAAUGUUCCACGUGUGGGAUCUCGUAUGUACCAUAUGAAUAAGGAUCGGCUAACUUCGCGCCAGCAGCCGCGGUAAUACGGAGGAUCCGAGCGUUAUCCGGAUUUAUUGGGUUUAAAGGGAGCGUAGGUGGAUUGUUAAGUCAGUUGUGAAAGUUUGCGGCUCAACCGUAGAAUUGCAGUUGAAACUGGCAGUCUUGAGUGCAGUAGAGGUGAGCGGAAUUCGUGGUGUAGCGGUGAAAUGCGUAGAUAUCACGAAGAACUCCGGUUGCGAAGGCAGUUCACUGGACUGCAACUGACGCUGAGGCUCGAAAGUGUGGGUAUCAAACAGGAUUAGAUACCCGUGUAGUC